GGCGAGUAUAAAUGGGUAUAAUAUAUUAUGGAUUGAAAACCAAAACAUCUAUUAUUACGCAAUGAAAACGGCCGCCAAGCAGGUUUGGGCGCACAAUGUAUUGUGGUUGACAAUGACUCUUUAAAUUAAGUCUACAAUACAUCGAUCAGUACAUCCAUGCAUAAAAGUAUCUUAAUAUCGUCAAUUCCAAAGAAUCAAGGGCCAGCUCUUUCAGAAGUGGGCCGGGAUUACAAGAUCACAGGAAAACUCCUAUUGUGCAUGCAGAACAUAUACAUGUAUUUUACUUGUGCGAAUGAUGUUUUUGUGAUCAUGAGUUAAAAAUCAU
Molecule: non-coding RNA, 325 nt
Organism: Paramuricea clavata
Lineage: Eukaryota; Metazoa; Cnidaria; Anthozoa; Malacalcyonacea; Plexauridae
Source: the annotation of a GenBank genome assembly